GGCCCCAUAUGCCACUCUCUGCCUCCCUGACCCUUGUGGCAGAUGGAGCUGCUCAUCGCCUUUGAGGUCAUCGGGGUGACCCUGCACACAAGGGACCUUCAGGUGCAGCUGCAGCUCUCCACGUCGAGUCACCAGGACAACCUGUGGCCCAUGACCCUCACUCUGCUGGUGGACUAUACACUCCAGACCUCGCUUACCAUGGUAAAUCACCGGCUACAAAGCUUCUUUGGGGGGACAGUGAUGGGUGAGUCUGGCAUGAAAACUGUGGAGGAUGUAGGAAGCCCCCUCAAGUAUGAAUUCCAGGUGGGCCCAAUGGGGGAGGGGCUGGUGGGCCUGGGGACCCUGGUCCUAGGUCUGGAGUGGCCCUAUGAAGUCAGCAAUGGCAAGUGGCUGCUGUAUCCCACGGAGAUCACCGUCCAUGGCAAUGGGUCCUGGCCCUGCCGACCACCUGGAGACCUUAUCAACCCUCUCAACCUCACUCUUUCUGACCCUGGGGACAGGCCAUCAUCCCCACAGCGCAGGCGGCGACAGCUGG
This 535-nucleotide small RNA is filed under the name Pan troglodytes (chimpanzee). RNAcentral describes it as "retained intron". The record is from RNAcentral. Lineage: Eukaryota; Metazoa; Chordata; Mammalia; Primates; Hominidae.